Numida meleagris (helmeted guineafowl) is the source of this 3878-nucleotide long non-coding RNA. RefSeq lists it as uncharacterized. NCBI's taxonomy places the organism in Eukaryota, Metazoa, Chordata, Aves, Galliformes, Numididae. The record is from RefSeq and is a predicted model, not a curated record. The transcript is spliced from 4 exons.
GGGGAGGCAAGAGUAUUUCAUCUGGAGUUUCCUGGAUAACUGAGGCCUUCUGAAGAAUGCCUGCAUCUGAAAAUCAAUUGCAUCUCCUGCUGUUUGGAGAGGGUGUUCCUGUCCUUGCAUCUCGCUGCAGAUCCAGCACUCUGCAUUGACAACUGAACACCGAUGCACUGCUGCAGCUGCUUUUACAGAUACUCCACUCAAUUCUGCUUUCUGGGCAGCAGCAGUCUGAUACUAGACUGAAUUAGAAUAACUUUCAUCCCCUUGCAUCAGGACUGCAUUUACACUCUUGACUACAGUUCUGCUUCAGAGAUUUCAGAGAUAAGCCUUCUGGGUCUCCAGGGUGCUCAGUACACUGAACUCUCUCCUGGGAUCAUGCCCAAGAAGGGAGAUCAAUCUUCUACGUGAUUGACUUGCUCCUGAGAAGAGCUGCGUGUCAAGUAUAUUCUCAGAAUAAUUUGUGAUAUGUGAAUCCUUCUGCAAUCCAGGGCUGGAUGAUGCUCACACACCUGUCAACUACAAAAACCUUCAACUACUUUCCUCCUUACCUGCAUGUUUGGCAGGUGUUCGUGCUGAUUUCCUGAGCCAUUCAGUCCGUUUGCUGAAACAGUCCUGGCAACAAAUUACCUGGGCAUCUUUCCUUUGCUGGACACGGUGUUUGAGAGCCUCUUUUUUUUUAUGAAAAGGAAUGCAUAGAACUUUGGAAAAAAAAAUUAAAAAAUGAAGGAUUUACUCUGUGGGAGUGAAAGAUGGAAGCAAACUGGAGAAAGGCUCGGAGGACUACUCGCUGGACACAGCAUCGUUGUGAUGGUGGUUUCCAGUGGGAAAUUCCACACCACCCACCUUGCCUUGGACAGACUGGAUGAGAAGAAAGUCCUGUGGUGGUGGUGAUUCUCACUCUACAAAACAGCAGCAAGCAAGGGAAUCCAUCAAGCUAUUAGUCAUGUACUGUAUAUUUAGUAUCUUUUAUGCAAAUUUUAUAUAAAUAUAUAUAUUACUCACACCAUCUGUAUAAAGCAUCAUCCAGAUCAGGUUUCAUAAUAAUUGGAAAAGUAGCUAAUAGGAUACAAAGGUAUAUCCAGUAUAAAUUGGCCAAGAAGGUAAUUGUGCUAAUAUGUAUUUAGCUUUUUUGAAAGAUACUAGGCUAAGUAUGGCUAGAAAGUAGAUUGUACCUCUUUAAAUGAGACUCCGUUCUUUGUAGCCUUGCAAAGACUAGAGGGUAUUUUUAUUCAUCCUUAAGUGGUGCUUGUUAAAAAGAAGUGAACUAAAUGGUAUUUUGGGAUGUAGCAUUUUCUUUAAAUACAUUCCUUGUAGGUGGAAUAGCGCAAUUUUUUUGUACCAUAGAUGCUCAAGCCCCUUUAAUGUAUCUUUGUGUUCAUUGUUUGUGUGCAAGACCAUAAGGUGAUAGCAUCAUAACAAGCUGCUGUAAAAAAGAAUGCUUGAUUUUUAGUGCUUCCUAAAAUGCAGAGUGAGAUCAUGCUGCAAACGUUGGGAAUAUAGAACUGUGAUAAUCUGAUUGAGAAAAAAGCCAGAGGAAGUUUGAUUAUGACCACUUCUGAGGUGUUUAAUACUCUGUGUAUCCAAGGAAUUUAAAACCUUCUGUAAAUGCAGCCUGUAUCUUCAAAUAUAAAGCAUAGGCUUAGCCUCUUAUCAGUGAGAUUUAAGUCUUGAAGGACCAGAUCUUCAAGUGUACUGGGAUUGUGGGCGAGAUCCAACUUAGUGCUUAAAAGUGUUUCCAACAUGCGCAAUAAACUUCUGAAAAGUAGCAAAGAAUAUGGGAUUUGAAUGCUGGUAGAGCAGUGUCUUUGCUGCAGUUUGGAAGAGAGAUGGUGACUUGGUUUUACGUGAGAACUCUCUGGGCUAAACUAAUAUAUGGUGUAACACUGUCAGUGUUAGUGUGUAAAAUUAGUAAAGCAGUCUUCAGGAUUAAUUCAGUUACAGCAAUUACUUAGAGGAUUUUAUGCCCAUAAAUGUAUUUUGGGAGCCAAGUUUUAUGUACUUUGUUAGAAUUGGACUGUUUAUACUUCUGUGUUUAUUUGAUGGUAAUUUACUUAAAUAUUGAAGCACUAUUGCAAUUUGAGACCAAUUGGAAAUUAGCCCCUAGUAUCAUAAUCAACAAAAACUGAAGAUUUUUUCAGAGCAGAACUAUUUUUCCAAUCCCCUUGAGGAAAGAGAGGCAAUAUUCUGUAAGCAAGGCAGUCUCUCAGUCGGUUUUCUCCACAGGGUUUUCCAGGAACCGCGAAUGUGUCUUCAGUAAUCAGAUGUGUGUCAAUUAGUCCUGAACCGUGCUCAAUAUGUUAUCAGUGUUCAAAAAGGAGGUAGCAGAACUUGUUUCUGAGGAAGGAGGUGCAACUUUGAUUUGUAUUUUAAGCUCUUCCCUAUAGUGCUUGGGCAGAAGCAAGGUUUGAGGACAAGUAUGAGCACAAAUUUGAAUGUAAGAUAGGCUUAAAAAAAAAAAAAUUCCUUGAGAAACAAAACUUCCUUGAAAUCCAUUCAAAAUGUACCAUCAUCAGAUAUAUAUAGAAUUGACUAUCCAUUCACUUUGAUAUUUUUUUCCCCUCUAAAUUAACUACAGUCAUUAGUAUGUUUCCCUAAGUGGUCCCUCACUGACACAUAAUUCUUCCCAGCUGAUUUUAUUUAAAAUGCAACUUCUAUUUCCCCAACGUCUAUUCAGAUGAUGUAAUACUUGUUCUGGAGGAUAUUUCUUAGAGUAAGGGAGAAAAUUCCUCUCAGUACUCCUCCCUUGCUGAAGUUUCCUGCUUUUUUCUGCCAUCAGCUGCCUGUACACUGAGGAUUUCUGUGGGACCAAAAAAUGGGGUUAUCUAGCAGCUUCCCCUGAAUGCAAGACUGCUGCCUGGCCAGAGCAUAGCCCUCACCCAGGGGUUUCUGUGCUCCACACCUGGCAUUAAUGAUAAAGAUUGUACCUGAAACAGCUGCUGUCAUGCCACAUAAUGCAAAGUCAUUGUCUGGUGUAAUUAAAAUGGUUGUUAAAGUGAGUUGGACCAUGACUAUCUGUGUACUGGUACUUUUUAGGUGAGCUGUACCACCUCUGAAGUAACUUGUGUUGAGCCAUAGCUUGGCCCCAUGAUUCAGUGCUAAUCCCCCACUGUGGCCGCUCUGGAAUCCCAUUAGUGAAAGAGAGCCCUGUUCCUUCCCGCCUUAACCUUGCUUGAUAGUCAAACACUGAGUGCUUCAGACCAGGGCUUGAAAUAUUGAUGUAGGAGAAAGUGUGCAGGCCGCCUUGGUCAAACCCCGUGCAAGCUUUACUCAGCUGCUUUUGUGCGUGUGGGCGGGUGAGGGAAGCGAGAAGGUCAGCAUGACUGGCUGCCUUUUUUGGGGGGAAGUUUCUUACUUUUGACACAUCAUGUAGGAGAUUUGCUGGGAUGAGAUGACUCAUGACUUUGUGAAAGCAAUACCCAAAUGCCAUCAUCUGCCGUUGAUGUCUUGUGCCGUAUUGGCUUAAGCAGACCAUGGGCCCUGCCUACGUGCUGUUCGGGAGGGCUGCUCACGCACUCCUGGGGCUCUGUGCCCAUUGCACAUGAUAGCGGUUUCAGUCAAAACUAACUCAUGGGGAACAGAGAAAACCGACGAUGCAAAUAAUGUUCUUGAGUCUUUCAUUGAUAUUCAUGCGUUCUGAGUGGUCUCUCUUUCUCUUCAAAUCUCUCCCUCAAGGCCAUUUUUGUUCAUGCCUUAGUGAUGUCAAACUUGUGGUCUGUGCAUUCUUCAGCAAUUCCUUGAAAAUAAAUCUCCCUGAUGCAUUGGCUUGAUACAAACUGAUCUUAGCAGCCUUGGGGCUGCAUGUGAUCCUUUGGAGCCAUGGGGAAAGGGGCUGUGCAUUCGUACCAUCUCUUGCAGAGAGCCAAGCUGUGUGGGAAGCUCUC